AAGCGGCUCAGUAAUGUUGAUCAUAUCUUUGCUUCUGUGCGAUGCUCCUUCGACUUCCCUAUUGACAUACCUCAUAAUCUUCAUCCAUAUUGAAUUCCAGAUGAGGUAGUCCUCUCACCAAUUCUCUUCUUACGAAUCGAAAGAGAAUCACCCUGUAGACUGUAGACUCCAUUGAGUAGCCGAGGAAAAUAUUCUUUGAGCUUCAAAUGCAAGACUUGCAAAGAGGCAUUUUCCUCCAAACACAUACCAAGAGUUAGUGUUUGCUUCUGAUUGGCCACUGGAAAGAAUGGUGUCUUUCUGGAUUUAUCAAUGAUCAGGGUUCAUCUUGAUCAACCUUCAUUUGUGACGUCUUGUCCUUCGAACACAUACGAACAACACGAAAGAAUCUAGAGUAGUCAAUGAUCAUCGCAAAAAGAUAUCUAGCUUUGUUUGCAGACAUGACAUUAACUGAUCCGUAGAAAUCCAUACGUAUCAUCUGAAGCGGCUCAGUAAUGUUGAUCAUAUCUUUGCUUCUGUGCGAUGCUCCUUCGACUUCCCUAUUGACAUACCUCAUAAUCUUCAUCCAUAAUGAAUUCCAGAUGAGGUAGUCCUCUCACCAAAUCUCUUCUUACUAAUAAAAAGAGCUCCUUGUUUUGACAUACAAGUUUGAGAGCUUCAAGUGCCAUAGCUAAUACUCAU
RNAcentral lists this long non-coding RNA (678 nucleotides) under Daucus carota (carrot). RNAcentral's name for it is "long non-coding RNA (DCAR_LNC002026)". The record is from RNAcentral. Lineage: Eukaryota; Viridiplantae; Streptophyta; Magnoliopsida; Apiales; Apiaceae.